CAACUUGAGAGUUUGAUCCUGGCUCAGAACGAACGCUGGCGGCAGGUUUAACACAUGCAAGUCGAGCGCACCUUCGGGUGAGCGGCGGACGGGUUAGUAACGCGUGGGAAUGUACCCUUCACUACGGAAUAGCCCAUGGAAACGUGGAGUAAUACCGUAUACGCCCUCAGGGGGAAAGAUUUAUCGGUGAGGGAUCGGCCCGCGUUAGAUUAGAUAGUUGGUGGGGUAAUGGCCUACCAAGUCGACGAUCUAUAGCUGGUUUGAGAGGAUGAUCAGCAACACUGGGACUGAGACACGGCCCAGACUCCUACGGGAGGCAGCAGUGGGGAAUA
This 332-nucleotide ribosomal RNA is filed under the name Paracoccaceae bacterium. RNAcentral describes it as "bacterial SSU rRNA". It matches the Rfam family "Bacterial small subunit ribosomal RNA", at positions 1 to 363 of the family's 1533-position model. The record is from RNAcentral. Lineage: Bacteria; Pseudomonadati; Pseudomonadota; Alphaproteobacteria; Rhodobacterales; Paracoccaceae.